Molecule: ribosomal RNA, 425 nt
Filed under: uncultured bacterium
Lineage: Bacteria
Description: partial 16S ribosomal RNA
Rfam family: Bacterial small subunit ribosomal RNA
Source: RNAcentral
GUGGGGAAUCUUGCGCAAUGGGCGAAAGCCUGACGCAGCCAUGCCGCGUGAAUGAUGAAGGUCUUAGGAUUGUAAAAUUCUUUCACCGGGGACGAUAAUGACGGUACCCGGAGAAGAAGCUCCGGCUAACUUCGUGCCAGCAGCCGCGGUAAUACGAAGGGGGCUAGCGUUGCUCGGAAUUACUGGGCGUAAAGGGCGCGUAGGCGGACAGCUUAGUCAGAGGUGAAAGCCCAGGGCUCAACCUUGGAAUUGCCUUUGAUACUGGCUGGCUUGAGUUUGGGAGAGGUGAGUGGAACUCCGAGUGUAGAGGUGAAAUUCGUAGAUAUUCGGAAGAACACCAGUGGCGAAGGCGACUCACUGGCCCAAUACUGACGCUGAGGCGCGAAAGCGUGGGGAGCAAACAGGAUUAGAAACCCUUGUAGUCC